This 107-nucleotide small nucleolar RNA is filed under the name Corchorus olitorius. RNAcentral's name for it is "Plant small nucleolar RNA R71". It matches the Rfam family "Plant small nucleolar RNA R71". From Rfam's summary of the family: R71 is a member of the C/D box family of snoRNAs containing the C (UGAUGA) and D (CUGA) box motifs. Lineage: Eukaryota; Viridiplantae; Streptophyta; Magnoliopsida; Malvales; Malvaceae. The record is from Rfam by way of RNAcentral.
ACUCCAUGGUGUGGACAUUUUCGUUGCAAAUCCUUGAAUCUUUCCCAGGCAUCAUGAAGCGUUUCGUUGUCACGUUGCUUGAAGCUAGUGAUUUCAGUUCUCAGCUU